Balaenoptera ricei (Rice's whale) is the source of this 254-nucleotide long non-coding RNA. RefSeq lists it as uncharacterized. NCBI's taxonomy places the organism in Eukaryota, Metazoa, Chordata, Mammalia, Artiodactyla, Balaenopteridae. The record is from RefSeq and is a predicted model, not a curated record. The transcript has 2 exons.
AAGAGCUAACCAAUCAGCCGGAGGAGGGUUGGACCCCCGAGUGAGGCUCGUGACUCGGGAAGCACCUGCGUGGAGGGUGCUGAGCCCGGCCGGCCCCCGGCAGGCGGAAGUGGUGCGUGACUUAAAGCAGCUUUGCCUGACCCGCCUUUGGGGCUGGACAGACCCGGGACCGCCACCUCACAGAGGACUCUCGUGCUGAACCGGGAAGUGAGAGUUGCCUAUUGUGGACAUUUCAUAAAAAUGGAAUUAUACAA